Molecule: ribosomal RNA, 589 nt
Filed under: Blepharhymenus corsicus
Lineage: Eukaryota; Metazoa; Arthropoda; Insecta; Coleoptera; Staphylinidae
Description: partial 16S ribosomal RNA
Rfam family: Bacterial large subunit ribosomal RNA (bases 344-502)
Source: RNAcentral
UUAAAUGGCCGCAGUAUUUUGACUGUGCAAAGGUAGCAUAAUCAUUAGUUUCUUAAUUAGAAGCUGGAAUGAAAGGUUUAACGAGAAAAUAACUGUCUCUUUAUAAAUGAUUUAGAAUUUUAUUUUUAAGUUAAAAAGCUUAAAUAUAUUUAAAAGACGAGAAGACCCUAUAGAGUUUUAUAUAAUUCAUAUAAUAAUUUUAUAUUGAAUAGUUUAAUAUUUUUUAUUUAUUAUAUUUUGUUGGGGUGAUAGAAAAAUUUAAUUAACUUUUUAAAAUUUUUACAUUAAUUUAUGAAUUUAUGAUCCAUUUUUUUUUAUGAUUAUAAGAUUAAAUUACCUUAGGGAUAACAGCGUAAUUUUUUUUUAGAGCUCUAAUCGAUAAAGAAGUUUGCGACCUCGAUGUUGGAUUAAAAUUUAAUUUUGGUGUAGAAGCUAAAAUUUUAGGUCUGUUCGACCUUUAAAAUUUUACAUGAUCUGAGUUUAAACCGGUGUAAGCCAGGUUGGUUUCUAUCUUUAAAUUUAUAUAAUAUUUUAGUACGAAAGGACCGAAUAUAAGAAAAAAUUUUUAAAUAUUGAAUAAUAUUAAUUU